AAUGAACGUUGGUGGCGUGGAUUAGGCAUGCAAGUCGUGCGAGAAGGGGGCUUCGGCCCCCGGACAGCGGCGAACGGGGUAGUAAGGCGUCGGAACGUGCCCCGAGGUCCGGGAUAGCGGCGGGAAACUGCCGGUAAUACCGGAUGACCUCUUCGGAGCAAAGGUGUGACUCCGCCUUGGGAGCGGCCGACGUGGUACCAGCUAGACGGCGGGGUAAAGGCCCACCGUGGCUGUGACGCCUAGGGGGUGUGAGAGCAUGGCCCCCACCACUGGGACUGAGACACUGCCCAGACACCUACGGGUGGCUGCAGUCGAGAAUCUUCGGCAAUGGGCGCAAGCCUGACCGAGCGACGCCACGUGCGGGAUGACGGCCCUCGGGUUGUAAACCGCUGUCGGGGGGGAUGAAGUCACGGGAGGUACUCCUCUCGUGUUGACAGAGCCCCGGAGGAAGCGCGGGCUAAGUACGUGCCAGCAGCCGCAGUAAAAC
RNAcentral lists this ribosomal RNA (487 nucleotides) under uncultured bacterium. Its description in RNAcentral is "bacterial SSU rRNA". It matches the Rfam family "Bacterial small subunit ribosomal RNA", at positions 28 to 526 of the family's 1533-position model. The record is from RNAcentral.